GUGCAACUAGCUCAGUUUGGAUGGAGCAUCGGUUCUGAAAACCGACGGUCACUGGUUCGAAUCCAGUGUUGUCA
RNAcentral lists this transfer RNA (74 nucleotides) under Burkholderia ubonensis. RNAcentral describes it as "tRNA-Ser". It matches the Rfam family "tRNA". Rfam says of the family: Transfer RNA (tRNA) molecules are approximately 80 nucleotides in length. Their secondary structure includes four short double-helical elements and three loops (D, anti-codon, and T loops). Lineage: Bacteria; Pseudomonadati; Pseudomonadota; Betaproteobacteria; Burkholderiales; Burkholderiaceae. The record is from RNAcentral.